GACGAACGCUGGCGGCGUGCUUAACACAUGCAAGUCGAACGGAAAGGCCCUGCUUUUGUGGGGUGCUCGAGUGGCGAACGGGUGAGUAACCCGUGAGUAACCUGCCCUUGACUUUGGGAUAACUUCAGGAAACUGGGGCUAAUACCGGAUAGGAGCUCCUGCUGCAUGGUGGGGGUUGGAAAGUUUCGGCGGUUGGGGAUGGACUCGCGGCUUAUCAGCUUGUUGGUGGGGUAGUGGCUUACCAAGGCUUUGACGGGUAGCCGGCCUGAGAGGGUGACCGGCCACAUUGGGACUGAGAGACGGCCCAGACUCCUACUGUAGGCAGCAGGGGGGAGUAUUGCACAAUGGGCGGAAGCCUAAUGCAGCAACGCCGCGUGCGGGAUGUCGUCCUUCGGGUUGUAAACCGCUUUCGCCUGUGACGGAGCGUGAGUGACGGUAAUGUGUAAAGAAGCACCGGCUAACUACGUG
RNAcentral lists this ribosomal RNA (468 nucleotides) under uncultured bacterium. Its description in RNAcentral is "partial 16S ribosomal RNA". It matches the Rfam family "Bacterial small subunit ribosomal RNA", at positions 28 to 507 of the family's 1533-position model. The record is from RNAcentral.